Molecule: ribosomal RNA, 255 nt
Filed under: uncultured bacterium
Lineage: Bacteria
Description: partial 16S ribosomal RNA
Rfam family: Bacterial small subunit ribosomal RNA
Source: RNAcentral
UACGGGGGAGCAAGCGUUGUUCGGAUUUACUGGGCGUAAAGGCGCGGUAGGCGGCACCGCAAGUCGACUGUGAAAUCUCCGGGCUUAACCCGGAAAGGUCAGCCGAUACUGCGGGGCUAGAGUGCAGAAGGGGCAACUGGAAUUCUCGGUGUAGCGGUGAAAUGCGUAGAUAUCGAGAGGAACACCUGCGGCGAAGGCGGGUUGCUGGGCGUGAACACGUGACGCUGGAUGCGCGAAAGCUAGGGAGCGAACGGG